RNAcentral lists this non-coding RNA (29 nucleotides) under Homo sapiens (human). The record is from RNAcentral. Lineage: Eukaryota; Metazoa; Chordata; Mammalia; Primates; Hominidae.
UCCUGAGUAAUUUACAGGACUGGUGUGAG